CAGCCGCCGCGGUAAUACCAGCACCUCGAGUGGUCAGGAGGUUUAUUGGGCCUAAAGCAUCCGUAGCCGGUUGCAUAAGUUUUCGGUUAAAUCUAUGCGCUUAACGUAUAGGCCGCCGAAAAUACUGUGCAGCUAGGGAGUGGGAGAGGUACACGGUACUCGAUAGGAAGGGGUAAGAUCCUUUGAUCUAUUGAUGACCACCUGUGGCGAAGGCGGUAUACCAGAACACGUUCGACGGUGAGGGAUGAAAGCUGGGGGAGCAAACCGGACUAGAUACCCCCGUAGUCCCUGUCUCUUAUAC
This 301-nucleotide ribosomal RNA is filed under the name uncultured bacterium. RNAcentral describes it as "partial 16S ribosomal RNA". It matches the Rfam family "Archaeal small subunit ribosomal RNA", at positions 459 to 760 of the family's 1478-position model. The record is from RNAcentral.